Molecule: non-coding RNA, 838 nt
Organism: Castor canadensis (American beaver)
Lineage: Eukaryota; Metazoa; Chordata; Mammalia; Rodentia; Castoridae
Source: RefSeq, a predicted model, not a curated record
GACUAUGUGCCAUCAGUUGAUGCUGGAUUGACCUGGAAAUCUAAGAAAGAGGAUGGAUUGGAUGUUUCUAUCUGGUGGAGUCCUUCAGAGGAUAGAUGGGUCCUCUGUACAUCAGAUGGGAGACUUUAUCUCAGCCAGAACUAAGGUAUCUGGGAGCCUCGUACCUUCUUUCCUCUUCUUCCCUCGAAAGGACCAGCCAUGAGCCAUUCCCAUUCUCUAAUCCUCAUAAGACUCCUGAAAAAUAGAUAAUGUACCAACAUUCAGAAUGAGCAAACUGAGGUUCAGAGAGUGCUGAAGACAGAGGUGUGCUGGCUCUCCCAUGGAGCUAUGGUACAAUGGGAAUGGAAAGGCUGUGAUCUGCAGAGUUGUUCCCUGUGACCCAAUAUACUUCACAGCUCCCCAAGCAGCAAGCUGGAACCAAAGAAAAGUCUAAGUUUUUCUGAUAACUGAUCAUAAGAAAGCAACAUUCAAUGUGGAAAAAGAGGAAAAUCUCAUCAUGGAGUGAGUCAAUAAAAUGAUUUCGAGGAGAAAAGAAGGAAAUGAAUCUUAAUCCUAAAACAAGCUUACGGAUACUGACACCAGUGACAAUGCUGGCAACCAAAUCUUAUAGAGAAUGGCUGCACGAGUAGAAGAAAACUGCAUCUGAGUCACUACUUGGAACAGAACCACCAGACCAGGACCACUUAUAUCCAACUGAAAUAGUGCCCAUGGAGUGUGGGAUCUGUUAGUGGAGCACCAUGCAGUCAUUACCUGGCUUAUAAAACUGGUACAGAAAGCUCAGAGAAUUGUUUCUACCUAAAGCCAUGCAAUGUGCUUGGAGUCCAUGUUUAGAUGCUCA